UUACUUAAAGCGUAUGGAGGAUGCCUAGACUGAAGUAAGCGAUGAAGGACGUAGCAGGUUGCGAUAAGCCUCGGGGAGCUGCCAAGCAAGCUUUGAUCCGAGGAUUUCCGAAUGAGACAACUCUUCGCCGAUGAGGCGAAAUCAUUAACUGAAUUCAUAGGUUAAUGAAGCACACCCUGGGAACUGAAACAUCUUAGUACCAGGAGGAAAAGAAAACAAUAGUGAUUCCGCAAGUAGUGGCGAGCGAAAGCGGAACAGCCGACACUCUUUAGCAUUGAUCCAAUAGAAUGUCUCUGGAAAGAGCGACCAUAGAGGGUAAUAGUCCCGUAUAUGAACGAUUGAUGUGGAAAUAGGUGUGUCAAAAAGUAGGGCGGGACCGGAGAAAUCCCGUUUGAAGAUGGGAGCACUAACUUCCAAGGCUAAAUAUUACUUCAGAUCGAUAGUGAACUAGUACCGUGAGGGAAAGGUGAAAAGCAUCCCGAUAAGGGAGAUGAAAUAGUAUCUGAAACCAUACGCUAACAAAGAAUCAGAGCCCCGGCGCUUGCGUCGAGGUGAUGGUGUGCUUUUUGCAGAACGAGCCAACGAGUUAGUUUUAUAUGGCAGCGUAAGCCACUUUGUGGCGGACGCAUAGUGAAAGCGAGGCUUAACCGCCGCAUAUUGUCGUAUGGACUAGACCCGAAGCCAGGCGAGCUACAUAUGAGCAGGGUGAACUCCGAGUAACAUCGGGGGGAGGCCCGAACCCACUAGUCGUUCGACUCUAGGGGAUGACUUGUGUGUAGAGGAGAAAUUCCAAUCGAGCUUGGCAAUAGCUGGUUCUCUCCGAAAUAGCUUGAGGGCUAGCGUUCGGUAAAUGAGCAUGGGAGGUAGAGCUACUGAAUGAGGCCGCGCGGCUUGCCGUAGCGAUCUCAACCAAACUCCGAAUUCCCAUGUUUCUUAUCCGAGCAGUCAGAAAUCCGGCUCUAAGGUCGGAUCUCAAAAGGGAAAAAGCCCAGAUCAUAAUCUAAGGUCCCCAAAUUCAUGUUAAGUGGAAAAGGAAGUAAAGUUUCUCAAACACCUAGGAGGUUGGCUUAGAAGCAGCCAUCCUUUAAAGAGUGCGUAAUAGCUCACUAGUUUAGAGAUUUUGCGCCGAAAAUGUAACGGGGCUAAACAUGAUACCGAAGAUAUGGACUCCAGUGCAUGACACUGGAAUUUUCAAUUUUCAAUUUUCAAUUUUCAAUCAAUGAUUUAAUGACUUAAUUUUUAAAUUUAAUAAAUUAAGAAAUUAGAAAUUGUUUAGAAAUUAG
This 1283-nucleotide ribosomal RNA is filed under the name Candidatus Moranbacteria bacterium GW2011_GWD1_37_17. RNAcentral describes it as "bacterial LSU rRNA". It matches the Rfam family "Bacterial large subunit ribosomal RNA", at positions 1 to 1223 of the family's 2925-position model. Lineage: Bacteria; Candidatus Moraniibacteriota. RNAcentral also lists the same sequence under 1 other name. The record is from RNAcentral.